RNAcentral lists this ribosomal RNA (301 nucleotides) under uncultured bacterium. RNAcentral describes it as "partial 16S ribosomal RNA". It matches the Rfam family "Bacterial small subunit ribosomal RNA", at positions 509 to 807 of the family's 1533-position model. The record is from RNAcentral.
CAGUAGCCGCGGGAAAACGGAGGGUGCAAGCGUUAAUCGGAAUUACUGGGCGUAAAGCGCACGCAGGCGGUUUGUUAAGUCAGAUGUGAAAUCCCCGAGCUUAACUUGGGAACUGCAUUUGAAACUGGCAAGCUAGAGUCUUGUAGAGGGGGGUAGAAUUCCAAGUGUAGCGGUGAAAUGCGUAGAGAUCUGGAGGAAUACCGGUGGCGAAGGCGGCCCCCUGGACAAAGACUGACGCUCAGGUGCGAAAGCUAGGGGAGCAAACAGGAUUAGAUACCCCGGUAGUCCCUGUCUCUUAUAC